CUCUACGGCCAUGUCACCCUCAACAAGCCUGAAGUCUAAUCUCAGAAACUAAGCAGGGUCGGACCAGGUUAGUACUUGGAUGGGAAACCACCUAGAAAGACUAGGCAUAAAUA
RNAcentral lists this ribosomal RNA (113 nucleotides) under Pteropus alecto (black flying fox). The record is from RNAcentral. Lineage: Eukaryota; Metazoa; Chordata; Mammalia; Chiroptera; Pteropodidae.